AGACACCACGGAUGGCUGGCGGGCAGUUGACAUAGGCAGGACCUGGCUUGUGAGCUUGUCUCAGAUGCAUCAGAGCAUAAACCGGAGGAUGGGAGCCCCACUGAGGGAAGAGCCAGAUGUGGUGGUGCAUACCUAUAGUCCCAGGUACUCAGGAGGCUGAGGCAGGAGAAUCGUUUGGACCCAGGAGGUGGAGGUUGCAGUGAGCCGAGACUGCACCGUUGCACUCCAGCCUGGGCGACUGCGUAAGACUCUGUCUCAAACAAUAAUAAU
This 270-nucleotide long non-coding RNA is filed under the name Callithrix jacchus (white-tufted-ear marmoset). RNAcentral's name for it is "lncRNA (ENSCJAG00000086552.1)". The record is from RNAcentral. Lineage: Eukaryota; Metazoa; Chordata; Mammalia; Primates; Cebidae.